CAGAACUUCUUGUGCAGAUGCAGGGUGUAGGUCAUAACGAUCACAAAGUUCUUGUUCUUGCUGCAACAAAUACUCCCUAUGCUUUGGAUCAGGCCAUUCGUCGACGAUUUGACAAGCGGAUAUACAUCCCUCUUCCUGAUUUGAAAGCCAGACAACACAUGUUCAAAGUGCAUCUGGGGGAUACUCCAAACAAUUUGACAGAAAAAGAUUUUG
RNAcentral lists this unclassified non-coding RNA (213 nucleotides) under Hevea brasiliensis (rubber tree). The record is from RNAcentral. Lineage: Eukaryota; Viridiplantae; Streptophyta; Magnoliopsida; Malpighiales; Euphorbiaceae.